RNAcentral lists this transfer RNA (92 nucleotides) under Myxococcales bacterium. Its description in RNAcentral is "tRNA-Ser". It matches the Rfam family "tRNA". Rfam says of the family: Transfer RNA (tRNA) molecules are approximately 80 nucleotides in length. Lineage: Bacteria; Pseudomonadati; Myxococcota; Myxococcia; Myxococcales. The record is from RNAcentral.
GGAGAGGUGGCGGAGUCCGGUUGAACGUGCCUGACUCGAAAUCAGGUGAGGGGGCAACUCCUCCGUGGGUUCGAAUCCCACCCUCUCCGCCA